GUUUCUGGACUAUGCUAGUUAAGUUAAGCGAGCAGGUGGGAUCAAACAAAUGGAUCCUAUUGUAUGUAACCUGAUGUCCUCCUGUUGCUGUGCCUCUUCCACCUGUCAUUUACGGAGUUUACUGAAAGCAGCCUGUGACUGCGAUCUACCGUAGCUGCACGUUAGCCCUGUUAGCUGCGCGCUAACAGCACCAGGACCAGAGCUGGGCCAGCAGGCCACAGAACGAGGCCCGGCAGCCUCCAUGGACAGCAUGACAGAGGACGAGAGACCGAAGACGACGCUCAGAGAGGAAGCUGGACAGGAGUGGCUUUUAGUCACUGCCUCGAAGUAGGAAUGAAAACUGCAGCACCACCUGGGGACCCCGAGCGAGCACCACCCUGCCGCCUCCCAGCAGCUUUGGUUUUGAUUCGUUCGACUGAAGCGAAGGAGUCCGGAGCUUUUGCUCAAGGGCAUUUCAAUAGCAGGUUCUUCAAAUGGUUUUCCCAUCAGAUACUCAGCGUUUCACAUUUUAGAGGCUCUGAAGUGUUUUCCAGCGGGGGAUCUGAACCAGCGACAGACCAGCCAUAAGCUCAGACAGGGUUUAUUUUUACAGAUACAGUACACUCAUGUCUUGACUCUACACUGGGGAGGAGUAUGUCCUACUGAUGCCAUGUCAGUAAAGCAGGCAGCGUGAACAAAUGAAGACUGCUCUGCUAUCUGUUGAUAAACUAUACAGACAAAAGUAUCCAGACACCUCUUCAUGGGGCUGUUCCUCAGGGUUUGUUCUCGGCCCCUGACUUCCAGUGAAGGGAAAUCUUAAU
Scatophagus argus is the source of this 800-nucleotide long non-coding RNA. RefSeq lists it as uncharacterized. Lineage: Eukaryota; Metazoa; Chordata; Actinopteri; Scatophagidae. The transcript is spliced from 3 exons. The record is from RefSeq and is a predicted model, not a curated record.